Molecule: long non-coding RNA, 1026 nt
Organism: Cebus imitator (Panamanian white-faced capuchin)
Lineage: Eukaryota; Metazoa; Chordata; Mammalia; Primates; Cebidae
Exons: 3
Source: RefSeq, a predicted model, not a curated record
AAGGUUCUCGUCUAAUGCUGGAUCUCCUCUUCCAGGCCUACGUUUGGAGUAGUUUUGCCUAUUUCACCAUUGGGAGAUUGGUGCCCCUCUGCAAGAAUUCUCAGGGACUUAAAAGAUGUCGCCAUCACCUGGUCUCCAGUGUAACUAUGGAACACAAUCAAAUAUUCCACCUAACCACACUUCCAUCCAAGAGUUCAGUUAAGGCCAUGGGGCUUUUGAAAUGAUUCCAACAGAAAGAAGAACUCAUCAUGAUAGAUUUAAGGAGAACUAACAUAUAAGCAAUGCCAGUUUCCCACUAGUUAUCCAUCAUGGCUCACCUAAAGACAGGAACUUGCUCUGUUCAUAGCGAGUGAGUAACUCAUAAAUCCACUGCCUUUCUCUCUUCUCCUUCCCAUAUUCUCAGUCCCACCCUGCCUCACUUUAAGUUCUAUCUGUAAUUCACAGUCCCAUAACUAUCCCCCUUAUUUUUAUUUAGCCUUGGGCUAGUUUUCUUUCCUUGGCCACUUCCUCAUGCUCACACAUUUGUAAUUAUUAAUUCUACUUUCCCCUUCCUUUUAAUCCAUCUAUACAGUAUUUUCUAUUUUACCUAGGUGAAAAUUAUUUGAGGAUUUGUAGUCCCUCUUUGUAGAAGUUUUCCUGUAUUCAGUCUUUUCGUAAUGUUCUCUCUUUCUUUACAAUAACAAUUCUCUUUAUUUUUAAAAAGUCUGUCUGUUAGGGUACUUAUCUCUAAUUCCUUUUCUUCUGGCAAGAGUAGCCAGGAAGAGAGGCUACUAUUUAAAAGAAAGCUGUCUUCUACAUCAUUCUUGGACUCUGAUAGUCAUUGCUUCUGACUUCUGUCUCUGACGAUGGAAUACCUUUACUGAACACAUAACCCCCAAUAAGUAGCCUGAUCAUAAUUUAAAUAGAAUCUUGCUUUCUCGUUCCUUUUUUCAGAUGUUCUCAGAACUGAAACAACAAACUCUUACAGAUAUAGAACAGACUAUUCAACUACUACAUUUUCACUACCUCUUUAUUGUCAAUUUUUUU